GGCAAUCCCCUAAUGUUCCCUUCCACCUUGUGGAAGUUUUGUUCUUUCGCUCUUUGCAAUAAAUCCCAUUGUUGCUCGCUCUUUGGGGUCUCACUGUCUGUGCGAGCUGUAAUACUCGCCGCAAAGGUGUCUGGCUUCACUUCCGAGACCAGCGAGACCCCGAACCCACCGGGAGGAAUGAACAACUCCGGAUGGGAGGGACAAACAACACCAGACGCACCGCCUUAAGAGUCCUAACGCUCACCGCGGAGGUCUGCGGCUUCACUCUUGAAUGAAGCCAGCGAGAUCACAAACCCACCAGAAGGAAGGAACUCUGAACACAUCCGAAAAUCAGAAGGAACAAACUCCGGACACACUACCUUUAAGAACUGUAACACUCAAAUCGCGAGGGUCCACGGCUUCGUUCUUGAAGUCAGUGAGACCAAGAACCCACAAAUUCCGGACACUUCCCCACACAGAGGGAACUGGCCUAACACUCUGGUGGUGCCAAUAGGAUGUACUGACAGAUCAGAAGUGGUCGUGAGAGAAGGAGCAAGUAGCCAGAAGAGUGAAGUGUGCACUGGCUGAGAUGUGGGAGCAGGUGUUGUUGGUUUCCCCGGAGUAAGUUACCUUGAGUGAGUUAAGGUUAAGAUAUCCCAGGGGUGAGGUUGAGCAGGCAGUUGUGUAUGUGACCCUGGGGAAAGUCUAGCUGAAGAUACAAAGAUGGGAUGAGAUCACCAAGGAGUAAGUGUCUUUAGCAAAGAGAAGAGACCAAGGACUGAAUCUGGAUACCUCAACAUUUGGAGUCAGAGCCUGAAAAGGAUCCCUCAAAAGUGCCCAAGAAGCAGCAGAAUGAGGAAAGACAGCCCAGGGAGUGUGGCACAGCUGCUCCUCACCACUUCAGGCUCCCCUGGAGUCCAAUGCACUGGGGCCUCAUUCCUGGGUAUUAUAAUUGCCUCCUAAGUGGCCUCUGGCUUAUGUCUCCUACCCCAGUUGAUGUUCAUCACAUCAGCCAGAGUGGCUCUGUUAACACCCAAGCCAGUUCCUGCCCAUCUGCUGAGAAUCUUCAAGGGCUUUCACCUCACUCUGAGUCGAAGCCAAUAUCUUCACAAUGGCCUGGCCCUUUGCCAACUGCUGUGGUUUAAAUGUUUGUACCCUUCAAAACUUAGGUUGAAAUUUGCUUGGCAACAUGGUGGUGGCAGGAGGUGGAACCUUUGGGAUGUGAUAGGGCCAAGGGCUCUGCCCUCAGGGGUAGGAUUAAUGCUGUUACAAAAGAGCAAGUUUGACUUUCUUUUGCCUCUUUGCCCUUCUACCUUCCUUCCUGGGAGGAUGCAGCAAGAAGGCCCUCGCCAGAUAUCAAGGCCUUAAGCUUGGACUUCCCAGCCUCCAGAACUGGGGGAAGAGCCAAGAUGUCUGAAUAGAAACAGCUCCGGUCUACAGCUCCCAGCGUGAGCAAUGCAGAAGACAGGUGAUUUCUGCAUUUCCAUCUGAGGUACCGGGUUCAUCUCACUAGGGAGUGCCAGACAGUGGGCGCAGGUCAGGGGGUGCUCGCACCGUGUGCCAGCCGAAGCAGGGCGAGGCAUUGCCUCACUCGGGAAGCGCAAGGGAUCAGGGAGUUCCCUUUCCUAGUCAAAGAAAGGGGUGACAGACGGCACCUGGAAAAUCGGGUCACUCCCACCCGAAUACUGCGCUUUUCCGAUGGGCUUAAAAAACGGCACACCAGGAGAUUAUAUCCCGCACCUGGAUCGGAGGGUCCUACGCCCACGGAGUCUCGCUGAUUGCUAGCACAGCAGUCUGAGAUCAAACAGCAAAGCGGCAGUGAGGCUGGGAGAGGGGCGCCCGCCAUUGCCCAGGCUUGCUUAGGUAAACAAAGCAGCCGGGAAGCUCGAACUGGGUGGAGCCCACCACAGCUCAAGGAGGCCUGCCUGCCUCUGUAGGCUCCACCUCUGGGGGCAGGGCACAGACAAACAAAAAGACAGCAGUAAUCUCUGCAGACUUAAAUGUCCCUGUCUGACAGCUUUGAAGAGAGCAGUGGUUCUCCCAGCACGCAGCUGGAGAUCUGAGAACGGGCAGACUGCCUCCUCAAGUGGGUCCCUGACCCCUGAACCCCGAGCAGCCUAACUGGGAGGCACCCCCCAAGCAGGGGCAGACUGACAUCUCACAUGGCCGGGUACUCCAACAGACCUGCAGCUGAGGGUCCUGUCUGUUAGAAGGAAAACUAACAAACAGAAAGGACAUCCACACCAAAAACCCAUCUGUACAUCACCAUCAUCAAAGACCAAAAGUAGAUAAAACCACAAAGAUUGGGAAAAAACAGAGCAGAAAAACUGGAAACUCUAAAAGGCAGAGCACCUCUCCUCCUCCAAAGGAACGCAGUUCCUCACCAGCAACAGAACAAAGCUGGACGGAGAAUGACUUUGACGAGCUGAGAGAAGAAGGCUUCAGAUGAUCAAAUUACUCUGACCUACGGGAGGACAUUCAAACCAAGGGCAAAGAAGUUGAAAACUUUGAAAAAAAUUUAGAAGAAUGUAUAACUAGAAUAACCAAUACAGAGAAGUGCUUAAAGGAGCUGAUGGAGCUGAAAACCAAGGCUUGAGAACUACAUAAAGAAUGCAGAAGCCUCAGGAGCUGAUGCGAUCAACUGGAAGAAAGGGUAUCAGCGAUGGAAGAUGAAAUGAAUGAAAUGAAGCGAGAAGGGAAGUUUAGAGAAAAAAAUAAAAAGAAACGAGCAAAGCCUCCCAAGAAAUAUGGGACGAUGUGAAAAGACCAAAUCUAUGUCUGACUGGUGUACCUGAAAGUGACGGGGAGAAUGGAACCAAGUUGGAAAACACUCUGCAGGAUAUUAUCCAGGGGAACUUCCCCAAUCCAGCAAGGCAGGCCAACAUUCAGAUUCAGGAAAUACAGAGAACGCCACAAAGAUACUCCUUGAGAAGAGCAACUCCAAGACACAUAAUUGUCAGAUUCACCGAAGUUGAAAUGAAGGAAAAAAUGUUAAGGGCAGCCAGAGAGAAAGGUCAUGUUACCCUCAAAGGGAAGCCCAUCAGACUAACAGCGGAUAUCUCGGCAGAAACUCUACAAACCAGAAGAGAGUGGGGGCCAAUAUUCAACAUUCUUAAAGAAAAGAAUUUUCCACCCCGAAUUUCAUAUCCAGCCAAACUAAGCUUCAUAAGUGAAGGAGAAAUAAACUACUUUACAGACAAGCAAAUGCUGAGAGAUUUUGUCACCACCAGGCCUGCCCUAAAAGAGCUCCUGAAGGAAGUGCUAAACAUGGAAAGGAACAACUGGUACCAGCCACUGCAAAAUCAUGCCAAAAUGUAAAGACCAUUGAGACUAGGAAGAAACUGCAUCAACUAACGAGCAAAAUAACCAGCUAACAUCAUCAUGACAGGAUCAAAUUCACACAUAACAAUAUUAACUUUAAAUGUAAAUGGACUAAAUGCUCCAAUUAAAAGAC
This 3433-nucleotide long non-coding RNA is filed under the name Homo sapiens (human). Its description in RNAcentral is "HSALNT0290366". The record is from RNAcentral. Lineage: Eukaryota; Metazoa; Chordata; Mammalia; Primates; Hominidae.